Gossypium arboreum is the source of this 662-nucleotide long non-coding RNA. RefSeq lists it as uncharacterized. Lineage: Eukaryota; Viridiplantae; Streptophyta; Magnoliopsida; Malvales; Malvaceae. The record is from RefSeq and is a predicted model, not a curated record. The transcript is spliced from 2 exons.
UUUUAAUGCCCUAUUUAAGUUAAUUUUUUUUAAAAGAUUCAUUUCUCUCCUUCCUUCAAAAAAAAAAAAAAGAAACAGCCCCGCACCUUCUCUCAACUCUCUCCUUGGCCGGCCAUUAACCUCGCCGACGGUUCACCAUGCCUCCGCCAUGAGCGGUGGCUGGAACCAUACAAAUAUCGGGCUCUUUCAGCCCCGUUUUGAAACGCCCUUGAAGGUUAAACCACCGAAACCCGAAGAAUCGAAAGGAGGAGGCCCUCAACUCCCCUUUUGGGUCCAAAAUUGGUGACGAAGAAGAGCUCCGACGACACGACCACGGGGGUUCAAGUGCCAAAGGCACGUGGAGGCAAGCCGAGAGGCGGUGGCAAAGACAAGGGUGACGUGCGGCGCUGGUUAAGCUGAAGGAGGCUAGGGUUUCUGUUUUUCUUCUGAAAGUUAAAGUUGUGGGCUUUUGGGCUACUAAGGUUUUUUAAUUUUAGGCCAUUUGGGUAGUGUAUUUGGGCUUGUAAAAAUUGGACUGUUUUAUUAUUUGGGUUUAUUGACCUGGACCAAAAAUUGGCCAUUACAUUAGCAAUUGACAAAAAAGAAAUUGUUAGAGAUAAAAGAUAAUUUAUUGUUUCUCCGAUUUUAUUUUAAAUUUUUAAAUAUAUUAUUUCAAUUCAAAA